UCCGUAGGUGAACCUGCGGAAGGAUCAUUACCGAGUGAGGGCCCUCUGGGUCCAACCUCCCACCCGUGUUUAUCGUACCUUGUUGCUUCGGCGGGCCCGCCUCACGGCCGCCGGGGGGCAUCCGCCCCCGGGCCCGCGCCCGCCGAAGACACACAAACGAACUCUUGUCUGAAGAUUGCAGUCUGAGUACUUGACUAAAUCAGUUAAAACUUUCAACAACGGAUCUCUUGGUUCCGGCAUCGAUGAAGAACGCAGCGAAAUGCGAUAAGUAAUGUGAAUUGCAGAAUUCAGUGAAUCAUCGAGUCUUUGAACGCACAUUGCGCCCCCUGGUAUUCCGGGGGGCAUGCCUGUCCGAGCGUCAUUGCUGCCCUCAAGCACGGCUUGUGUGUUGGGCUCUCGCCCCCCGCUUCCGGGGGGCGGGCCCGAAAGGCAGCGGCGGCACCGCGUCCGGUCCUCGAGCGUAUGGGGCUUCGUCACCCGCUCUGUAGGCCCGGCCGGCGCCCGCCGGCGAACACCAUCAAUCUUAACCAGGUUGACCUCGGAUCAGGUAGGGAUACCCGCUGAACUUAAGCAUAUCAAUAAGCGGAGGA
Molecule: ribosomal RNA, 590 nt
Filed under: Penicillium oxalicum
Lineage: Eukaryota; Fungi; Ascomycota; Eurotiomycetes; Eurotiales; Aspergillaceae
Description: eukaryotic LSU rRNA
Rfam family: 5.8S ribosomal RNA (bases 208-361)
Source: RNAcentral